AAAGAUGUGAAAGUUGUAUGGAGAUUUUUUUUUAAAUUCUGACAAACAUUGUGAAUUUUGUUAGUACUUCUGCUAAGCGCUUUAAUGAGUUAAACUUAAUUCGAAAAACUGAACUCAAGGAGUUGUUGGAUUAUGGGGAACUUGAGACAGGUAAAGGACUUAAUCAAGCUCGUACUUUGAAACGAGCUGGAGCAACUCGUUGGGGAUCUCAUUUUAUCUGUAUUACAAGUUUGAUGAGUCUAUUUAAAGAGACUAAAUUACUUCUUUUGGAAAUCAGUGAUCAUGGACCUAACCAACAGUUUCGUGGUGAUGCAAAGAGUAAGUAUAUUGCUAUGAUAUCUUUUGAGUUGGUGUUUUGAUUGGUUUUGAUGGAAAAAAAUUAUGGGAUUGACCAAUUUUCUUUGUCAAGCAUUUCAGACGAAAACUCAAGACAUUGUAAGUGCUUUAAAUUUUGUUGAGAACACAAAAAUGCAACUUGAAGAUAUGAGGGAACAUGGUUGGGAUGAUUUAUUCAUGAGU
This 519-nucleotide long non-coding RNA is filed under the name Prunus dulcis (almond). Its description in RNAcentral is "sRNA ncRNA". Lineage: Eukaryota; Viridiplantae; Streptophyta; Magnoliopsida; Rosales; Rosaceae. The record is from RNAcentral.